AACGAACGCUGGCGGCAUGCCUAACACAUGCAAGUCGAACGAGACCUUCGGGUCUGGUGGCGCACGGGUGCGUAACGCGUGGGAACCUGCCCUUAGGUUCGGAAUAACUCCCCGAAAGGGGUGCUAAUACCGGAUAAUGUCUUCGGACCAAAGAUUUAUCGCCUUUGGAUGGGCCUGCGUUGGAUUAGCUUGUUGGUAGGGUAAAAGCCUACCAAGGCGACGAUCCAUAGCUGGUCUGAGAGGAUGAUCAGCGACACUGGGACUGAGACACGGCCCAGACUCCUACGGGAGGCAGCAGUGGGGAAUAUUGGAAAAUGGGCGAAAGCCUGAUCCAGCAAUGCCGCGUGAGUGAUGAAGGCCGUAGGGUUGUAAAGCUCUUUUACCCGGGAUGAUAAUGACAGUACCGGGAGAAUAAGCUCCGGCUAACUCCGUG
Molecule: ribosomal RNA, 433 nt
Filed under: uncultured bacterium
Lineage: Bacteria
Description: partial 16S ribosomal RNA
Rfam family: Bacterial small subunit ribosomal RNA
Source: RNAcentral